AUGUGCGAACGCGAAAGUAAACCGUUUUUUAACGAGUUUGACCUUGACUUCACUAAGCCAACAAUAAACUACAAAUUAUACUACAGACAUGAUCAAAAGAGGACCCACGCGUAUUGUACUGAAGUUGGAAGAUCUCGAGGAAUUCGAUAACAUUAAAAAGGAGCUGGAACAAAAAAGAAGAGUGGAACAAGUUGUGGGCUUGAGCCCAACUGAAAAGAACGGACAGGCAGGCACAUCCAACGGGGCAGCGGCCCACCAAGAAACUGUAGUUCCCGCUGGCGAGGUUGUUGACGCGAAGACCCGCGAUGAAAGGAUUCGUGCACGGAUUGGAUUCGAUCCCAGACCUGUUCCAUCUACUUCAAGUCGAAUUGGAGAAUUUAGAGGUGGCGAGUGACUCUACUAAUUAGGAACAUGCAGCAGCAUAAUUUGGAUUUCAGAAGCAACCUGGAUCGUGCUGGUUGGAUGCUGAGAACAGAUGUUCAUGCGGGAUUAUGAAAUACAUACAGGACAUGUCCAGCAAGAUCAUGAACAUGUCCAAAUUUGCCAUUCUCCUGCCAGCAGUAUGCCCAAUUCUGGCAGUGCUACCUGAUGUUUGAGUCUUGGACAAGUGUUGACAUCAGAUCCAUGGUCUAUGAUGGAUCUUGAUGUACAUGGUUGAGAUGCCGAACUGAGUUUGAACACGUGUACCGAUUUGUAGAGCCUCAAUUAAAACAUGUUUCUAUCUGAAAGGACGCUCACCAUUCAAUUCACUCUCACUUGAAGUUGAUCCUUAUUUCCACUGAUACUAAGAAGAAGAAGCUGCUUAUGUCAUGUUCACAGAUUUCACCCCUAAAAUCAGGUUGGAGAAUAUAGAGGUGCAAUUAACCAUGUUAAGGAUGAACUCUUGUGGAUGACCUUCAUGACCAUGCAUCUCCAGAAUUAUUUUGAUAUAAAACAAAUCUCAAAAGAGACAAGAUGAUGGGUGAUUCAGUCAUACUUCUGUUGAGCUCGUAGCAAAAAAGUCAACACUUAUAGUGGUAGAAUUUAACUAAAUUCUUAAAUGUAAAUUGAUACCAUUUAACAUUAACAUUUUUAGCUUAAUAUUCAUGACUUUGUGGAAAAUAUCUAAGUGGGUUGAUUGGAUAAAGAAGUGUGAAACUACUUGUACAUCAUUUUUGGGAUGUAUUGUUGACGACUUAAUAUUUUUCCUAAAUAUUUCCUGUAUGAGAUUUAGAUUUUAAAUUCAUCAGGUUCAAUGGACCCACUUGCUCUAAAAUUCCAAAGCUAUCAUUUUAUGCUUUAUUUUCUUUAAUAAUUUCAUAGAAAUCGUUCUUUCAUGAUACAGUUGAGACAGCAAUUUAAGUCAACAUUCUAGUCAAACGUUCAGGUGGAGGGGGAGGGGGGUGUUUCACAGGAAGAGUAAGUGUGACUUAUACCUUGAGUCAUGCUUCAACGUCAAUGCGCACAUUUUAUGUUAUUUAACGCGUAAUCUGAGUGAUGGAUAUGCAGUAGUGCGCCCCCUGUGCGCAUGAUCUGACCAAUGCAGUGAUACGUUAUAUAAUGCAUGUCGCACGCAACUGAAAUUUAAGUGCGACCCCAAGUCACACUUAAAUCUUUGUGAACCACCACCUGGUCUAAAAAAAAAGCGUCAACUUGGUUAAAUGUUUUACAGUUUAUAGAAGGUUGAUUUGGGCAAGUAUUCUAGAUCAUGCUCAAAGGGGAUGUUUACCCUGACAAUAAGUUGGUUUUGAUGAAAGAAGAAAAAAUUGAGAGAAAUGUAGUCAAAGUUUUGAUGAGAAUCCAUAAAAUCUAAGAAAGUCAUAAAUCUUGAAGUUUCUAUUUUAUGACGUCAUAUACAGGCAGCUUCCCCAUAUAUCAUGUAAUGUAAAUUCCAUGAAUUCCAAUCUUGUAAUGGAAUAUGAGGAAAUACAAAUAUUAUUCUUACAGAAAUGGGUAUGAAAUGAUGAGUCUGAUGACAUAUCCACCACACAGAUGAAGUCACUUUCAAGUUUAUGGGGAAAAUAUAUUUUCCACAAAAUAUGGAGGAGCUGGUGUAUGUGACAUCACAAUCCCGAAGCUUUAAAAAUUCACAACUCCUUAAUUCUUUGAUGGAUUUUCAUCAAUUCUUCAUCAAUAUUUUUCUCUAUAUUUUCUGCUAUUUUUGUUAAGAACUUAUUUUUCUUUAUCAGGGUGGACUUCCCUUUCAAUUCUGUGAUAGCUUUUAAAGUCUGUCUAAAGCUUUGUUAUAGGAUUAGUAAUGUGGAUUAUACUUGAGUAUAAUCAAAUAUUCCAAUAUUAUAACUUUAAAUUUUUCUUUCUUUCAUUCGUUACAGUUUUAAUUUGGCAUCUAGCACCCUCUCUCUGAAUCGCUUUUAUUUUAUUUCAAAUAGCUCUUCAAGCACCUAUUUUACAGAUUUAGUAAUUGGAUAUUAGAAAGCCACGGGCAAAGAUUAUAUCCUGAAAUUUUCAGCCCAUUACAUGCUUGAGAGGGGGUUGUAUUUAUGUAAACAAGACAUAAAUACAUGUAUGCAGAUAUUUCAUUUUGAUUCGCCACCAGGGGGCCGUUUCAUAAAGCUGUUCUUAAGUUAAGAGCGACUUUAAGAAUGACUGGUGAUCCUUUCUUACGUGCAAAACCAUCGCUAAUGAAUAUACCAUUCGCCAUAAGAAAGGAUCACCAGUCAUUCUUAAAGUCGCUCUUAACUUAUGAACAGCUUUAUGAAACGCCCACCUGAUUAAAUUAAAUGUUGAUGUAAAAUUGGUAAAUUAUCCAAUAAAACACAGUUUUAGUUAAUAUCCUUCAUACAUUAACCCUUUGGGGGCACAUGUAUUGAUAUAAUCUAGUACUGGGCCCCGUUUCAUAAAGGACUUGCAACUGUUGUAACUUUGCCAUUAUGGCAAUUACCAUGGAAACCUUGAUUCUGAUUGGCUGAUGAGCUCUGUUACCAUGGUAGUUGCCAUUAAAUGACAAAGUUGCAACAGUUGCAAGUCCUUUAUGAAGCGGGCUCCUGAAUUGGAAUAGUGAUAUGCCAUUUAGGGGGAUUCUCCAAAACUAAAGAUAGACUUUAAUAUGUCUUGAAAUUUUGAAAGUGUUUUGUUGUAUAUUUUGUGUUUUGAUUCAACAAGUUCUACAAUUGGGGCAGUAAUAUUUUUGUUACACACGCUCAUUUCUCUUGCAUUACUGAAUAUAUUAUUCCUUUAUGACAGAAGAUUAUAAAAAAGGAAAAUAAAAUGUUAUUCCAUUUAAAAUAAUAUGAUUUAAACUGAUUUAAUGGAAACAUGUUCAGCUGAAGAUAUAUUCAACAGGCUAACCAGUAUAUUGUAUUUUCAAACUGUAUGAUGUUUGAAUCAAACAUCAUACAUGUACUAUGCCUUUCUGUUCUGUUAGACGGAUAAACAUGUAAUGUUCAGCUUCGACAUGACAAUGCCAAGAAGAAUGGUUAUUUAUAACAGACGAUUUUUGAAAAUUGAACCAAAUAUAUGAGAUUUAUAAUAAUA
Molecule: long non-coding RNA, 3474 nt
Organism: Lytechinus pictus (painted urchin)
Lineage: Eukaryota; Metazoa; Echinodermata; Echinoidea; Temnopleuroida; Toxopneustidae
Exons: 4
Source: RefSeq, a predicted model, not a curated record